Podarcis lilfordi (Lilford's wall lizard) is the source of this 1638-nucleotide non-coding RNA. Lineage: Eukaryota; Metazoa; Chordata; Lepidosauria; Squamata; Lacertidae. The record is from the annotation of a GenBank genome assembly.
CUUGUUCAGAGAAGUUUAGAAAGCAGAGUAAGAAGGGCUGAACAUGGUUUGAUGUUCUCUCGGUGCUGGAGACUCCUCUGUCAUUACAGCUUCAUCCAUUCUUGAAAGAAGUCCAGUUCUACUCUAAUACUUCAGCUGAUGGACAGUACUUGGAUGAGAAUGGGGCACUGACCAUUGACUUUGAUAUUGUGAAUCUGGUGCUGUUUCCUAAUAACUCUCUUGCUAGAGUGAAAAUUGGAAGAAUGGAGAGACAAGGGUCCUCAAAUCUGAAGUUCACCAUUAACCCAGAAGCAAUUGUCUGGCCCAAGCUAUUUAAGAAGGUAGGAGAAAUGUUAUGUUAUUAACUAUGACAUCUGCUAUGCUCUAACACCAUUUUGAAUAGUACAUAGAAGCAUAGAAUCUUAGAAUUGUAGAGUUGGAAGGGACCCUAAUGAUCAUCUAGUCCAGCCCCCUGCAAUGCAGGAAUUUGAGGUUAUAUUAUGAAACAUCAUGUAUAUGUUGGUUGAAAGAAUGGAUGAAAUUAGAAAAUACACUCCCACAGUAAGGUCAUGGUUAUUUCCCUGUCCUAUGAUCUGUGUCCAAAGGCAGAAAUAUUACUAAUACUUUCUCCUUAGUGCUCAAUCUUCUCUUUAUGCCUAGACCAUACCUCGCUCAAGAUGCACAGAAAGCUGUCUCCCAGGAUAUGCCAAGAAGAUUCAGGAAGGAAAACCAGUGUGCUGCUAUGAUUGUGCUCCUUGCUCAGAAGGGACAAUCUCCACUGUGGAAGGUAGGAGAGGAUCUCAGAGGAUUUAAAGGCCUUUGAUGGGAGGAUGGGGCAAAUGUUUGAGCCAACCCAAACAUGAUGCUACCAAUGACACCCCAUAAAUGAAAUGCCAUCCCCAGAGAGGUUUCACCUGUUGCCAGCCUGCAAUGUUUCCCCAGAAGCAGGAAAAUUUAUUUGCCCACCAGCUCACACAUGUAGAAUCAUUCUGGAUUUUUUUUUUUUUUUAAAUCACCUCCAAUGUUGCAGGGAGUCAUGUCAGUGAAUCUGGUCCUGGGAGCUAUUUUGAUGGGUGAGGGACAAGUGCACAAGACAGUCAGUAUUGGGUUCACCAAAUGUGUGACCUCAGGAGUCUUAUUGGUCUGCCAUGGAGUCAGUCCGCACUACUACCAGUGAGAGGACCUGCCUAUUUCUCAGAGGUCUCCAGCAGUUCAGGGAUGGUGGUGGUGAUGAAAAAUUAUACUACCUCAAGUUCCUUGGAGGAAUAAGAUCCAAAUGUAAUAUGUGAUUUUUUAUAAUAAAAUAUAUAAUAUAAUAAAAUGAAGUUGGGCUUCACACAUAUGCUUCUCAAUACUGGAACAUGACAAGAAGCUGCAUUUAUACUGAGUCAACCCAUUGAUCCCUUUAACCGGUCUUCAUGCUAGAUCUUCAUUUCCCAGGCCAAAAGUAGCAGCUGGGUGCUGCUGCCAAUUUGUCAAUCACCUGAUGCAAUAGCAAUGUCAGCUGAAUUCAUGCUUUAAAGCCCUGAGUGUCAGCAAUUCAACGCACAGUGAGAGGCUGUCUGAAAAUUCUUUGCAAGCAAUGCGACAGCAGCGGCAAGAAUACUUUUUGGGAAAUACUGGAAGACACAAGAAUUGCCUACCCGAGAAGAAUGGCAG